GCCUUAGUAGUAUAAUUAUUACUCUGGUCUUGUAAACCAGAAAUGGAGAGCUCAUCUCCCUAAGACA
RNAcentral lists this transfer RNA (67 nucleotides) under Suncus murinus (house shrew). RNAcentral's name for it is "tRNA-Thr". The record is from RNAcentral. Lineage: Eukaryota; Metazoa; Chordata; Mammalia; Eulipotyphla; Soricidae.